This 253-nucleotide ribosomal RNA is filed under the name uncultured bacterium. RNAcentral describes it as "partial 16S ribosomal RNA". It matches the Rfam family "Bacterial small subunit ribosomal RNA", at positions 524 to 776 of the family's 1533-position model. The record is from RNAcentral.
UACGUAGGGAGCGAGCGUUGUCCGGAAUUACUGGGCGUAAAGGGCGUGUAGGCGGGAAUUUAAGUAAGGUGUGAAAACUCCGGGCUCAACCUGGAGACUGCACUUUAAACUGGAUUUCUUGAGGGCAGGAGAGGAAAGUGGAAUUCCUAGUGUAGCGGUGAAAUGCGUAGAUAUUAGGAGGAACACCAGUGGCGAAGGCGACUUUCUGGACUGUACCUGACGCUGAGGCGCGAAAGCGUGGGGAGCGAACAGG